UGUGGUUAUUAUAGCAAAGAGGAUACACCUGUUCCCAUUCCGAACACAGAAGUUAAGCUCUUUAGCGCCGAUGGUACUUGGUGGGAAGCUGCCUGGGAGAGUAGGACAUAGCCGCGU
Molecule: ribosomal RNA, 117 nt
Filed under: Paraclostridium benzoelyticum
Lineage: Bacteria; Bacillati; Bacillota; Clostridia; Peptostreptococcales; Peptostreptococcaceae
Also listed under: 1 other name
Source: RNAcentral